CUACGUGCCAGCAGCCGCGGUAAUACGGAAGGUUCGGGCGUUAUCCGGAUUUAUUGGGUUUAAAGGGAGCGUAGGCCGGAGAUUAAGUGUGUUGUGAAAUGUAGACGCUCAACGUCUGACUUGCAGCGCAUACUGGUUUCCUUGAGUACGCACAACGUUGGCGGAAUUCGUCGUGUAGCGGUGAAAUGCUUAGAUAUGACGAAGAACUCCGAUUGCGAAGGCAGCUGACGGGAGCGCCACUGACGCUUAAGCUCGAAGGUGCGGGUAUCGAACAGGAUUAGAUACCCUGGUAGUCCGCACAGUAAACGAUGGAUGCCCGCUGUUGGUACCUGGUAUCAGCGGCUAAGCGAAAGCAUUAAGCAUCCCACCUGGGGAGUACGCCGGCAACGGUGAAACUCAAAGGAAUUGACGGGGGCCCGCACAAGCGGAGGAACAUGUGGUUUAAUUCGAUGAUACGCGAGGAACCUUACCCGGGCUUGAAUUGCAGAGGAAGGAUUUAGAGAUAG
RNAcentral lists this ribosomal RNA (506 nucleotides) under uncultured bacterium. RNAcentral describes it as "bacterial SSU rRNA". It matches the Rfam family "Bacterial small subunit ribosomal RNA", at positions 501 to 1009 of the family's 1533-position model. The record is from RNAcentral.